RNAcentral lists this non-coding RNA (791 nucleotides) under Ditaxis biseriata. Lineage: Eukaryota; Metazoa; Arthropoda; Insecta; Neuroptera; Mantispidae. The record is from RNAcentral.
UUAAAGUUUGAUUUUGGCUAUAAAUUUAUUUAAUUUUAAUUUUACAUGAAUAUUUUUGUGGGAAUUAAUUUAGUUUUUAAAAAAUUAAUUUAUUUUAUUCUCAGUAUUUAAUUUUAAUAAUAAAAGAAAUUUUGAAUUGGUUAAAAAUUUUAGUAUAGGAUAAAUUUGUGCCAGCAUCUGCGGUUAUACAAAUUAUAUAAAUAAAUUAUAUUAGUAAAUAAUUAAAUUAUCUAUUUUAUUUAUUAAAUAAGAUUUUAAAUUUAAAGGUAAAAUUUUUAAAUUUUUACAUUAUUUAUAAAAAGUAAAUUGAAGUUAUUAAAUUUUUAAUUAAACUAGGAUUAGAUACCCUAUUAUUUAAAAUGUAAAUUGAUAUACUGAGGUAUUAGUAGUUAAAUUCUUUAAACUUAAAAAAUUUGGCGGUGUUUUAGUCUAUUUAGAGGAACCUGUUUCUUAAUUGAUAAUCCACGAUUAAUUUUACUAAAUUUUGUAUAGUUUGUAUAUCGUCGUUAUCAGAAUAUUUUAUAAGAAUAAUAAUAUUCUAAUUUUUAGAAAAAAAAAUUAUUUCAGAUCAAGGUGCAGCUUAUAAUUUAGAGUAAAUGGGUUACAAUAAAUUUAUUUAAAUGGAUUAAUUUUUGUAAAUAAAUUAUAAAGGUGGAUUUAAUAGUAAAUUUAAUUAUUUAAUUAUUUUGAUUAUAGCUCUAAAACAUGUACAUAUCGCCCGUCGCUCUUUUUAUUUAAAAAAAGAUAAGUCGUAACAUAGUAGAUGUACUGGAAAGUGUAUCUAGAAUGAU